CGAGAUAAGUUGGACAGUCGAAAGGGAAACAGCCCAGACCACCAGCUAAGGUCCCAAAGUACGUGUUAAGUGGAAAAGGAUGUGGGAUUUCAAAGACAACUAGGACGUUGGCUUAGAAGCAGCCAUUCAUUGAAAGAGUGCGUAAUAGCUCACUAGUCGAGAGAUCCUGCGCCGAAAAUGUCCGGGGCUAAAACACGACACCGAAGCUGUGGAAUGUAGUAAUACAUUGGUAGAGGAGCAUUGUAAGCGGGAUGAAGCCAUACCGUAAGGAGUGGUGGACUGCUUAGAAGAGAGAAUGCCGGAAUGAGUAGCGAGAGGAAGGUGAGAAUCCUUCCGGCCGAAUAUCUAAGGUUUCCAGAGUAAAGCUGAUCUGCUCUGGGUAAGUCGGGACCUAAGGCGAGGGCGAGAGCCGUAGUCGAUGGAUAACUGGUUGAAAUUCCAGUACCACAUAAAAACAGAACUGUGGGGACACAGAAGGGAAAUGGGAGCCAGGAAUGGAAACACUGGUGCAAGCGAAGUAGCCGUAUGGGAGGCAAAUCCCUCAUGCAAGGCAAAGGCGUUACGCGGACCGAACAAAAGUAGGGAAGCCCAGGCCCCCAGCUGUCAAGAAAAGCCGCUAUUGUUUUUUAUGUGCCCGUACCGUAAACCGACACAGGUGGAUGAGGAGAGAAUCCUAAGGCCGACGGGAGAAGUGUUGUUAAGGAACUCGGCAAAAUGACUCCGUAACUUCGGGAGAAGGAGUGCCAUAGUGAUAUGGCCGCAGAGAAUUGGCCCAAGCAACUGUUUAGCAAAAACACAGGUCUAUGCAAAACCGCAAGGUGAAGUAUAUGGGCUGACGCCUGCCCGGUGCUGGAAGGUUAAGGGGAGGGCUUAGCGCAUUAGCGCGAAGGUCUGAACUUAAGCCCCAGUAAACGGCGGCCGUAACUAUAACGGUCCUAAGGUAGCGAAAUUCCUUGUCGGGUAAGUUCCGACCCGCACGAAAGGCGUAAUGAUUUGGGCACUGUCUCAACAACACACCCGGUGAAAUUGAAAUACCAGUGAAGAUGCUGGUUACCUGCGCCAGGACGGAAAGACCCCAUGGAGCUUUACUCCAGCUUGAUACUGGGAUUCGGUACUGCAUGUACAGGAUAGGUGGGAGACUGAGAAGAAAGGACGCCAGUCCUUUUAGAGUCACUGUUGGGAUACCACC
Molecule: ribosomal RNA, 1189 nt
Filed under: Anaerostipes caccae L1-92
Lineage: Bacteria; Bacillati; Bacillota; Clostridia; Lachnospirales; Lachnospiraceae
Description: bacterial LSU rRNA
Rfam family: Bacterial large subunit ribosomal RNA
Source: RNAcentral